GACGAACGCUGGCGGCGUGCUUAACACAUGCAAGUCGAGCGAAAAGACCUGCUUCUUGCUCUUCUUUCGUUAGCCUCGGAUGGCUGACUAAUACGUGGAUAACCUGUCUACAAGCCCGGGCUUACUUCUGGAAACCGGAGCCUAUACCUGAUAACCUAUUUAACCGCAUGGUUCAAUAUUGAAUGACGGUCUUUCUUCUAUUUAUUGGUGCUUCCGCGCCGCCUUAUCUAGUUGGUAAGGUAACGGCUUACCAAGGCAACGACGCCGAGCCGACCUGAGAGGGUGAUCGGCCACACUGGAACUGAGACACGGUCCAGACUCCUACGGGAGGCAGCAGUAGGGAAUCUUCCGCAAUGGGCGAAAGCCUGACGGAGCAACGCCGCGUGAGUGAUGAAGGUCUUCGGAUCGUAAAACUCUGUUAUUAGGGAAGAACAAAUGUGUAAGUAACUAUGCACGUCUUGACGGUACCUAAUCAGAAAGCCACGGCUAACUACGUG
This 497-nucleotide ribosomal RNA is filed under the name uncultured bacterium. Its description in RNAcentral is "partial 16S ribosomal RNA". It matches the Rfam family "Bacterial small subunit ribosomal RNA", at positions 28 to 507 of the family's 1533-position model. The record is from RNAcentral.